CAGCCGCCGCGGUAAUACGGAGGGGGCUAGCGUUGUUCGGAAUUACUGGGCGUAAAGCGCACGUAGGCGGCUUUGUAAGUUAGAGGUGAAAGCCUGGAGCUCAACUCCAGAAUUGCCUUUAAGACUGCCGAGCUAGUAGGUGAGAGAGGUAAGUGGAAUUCCGAGUGUAGAGGUGAAAUUCGUAGAUAUUCGGAAGAACACCAGUGGCGAAGGCGGCUUACUGGCUCAUUCUAGACGCUGAGGUGCGAAAGCGUGGGGAGCAAACAGGAUUAGAUACCCCCGUAGUCCCUGUCUCUUAUAC
RNAcentral lists this ribosomal RNA (301 nucleotides) under uncultured bacterium. RNAcentral describes it as "partial 16S ribosomal RNA". It matches the Rfam family "Bacterial small subunit ribosomal RNA", at positions 509 to 807 of the family's 1533-position model. The record is from RNAcentral.